GAACUGCGGCUUUCCUCCACUAUACAAACCUGGCAUGUCCUUAAAUGAGGACGUAAAACACAAACCAACCAAUCAAGCUGAGUAUGUGCAUAUAAAACUGGUUAUCUGCCCAAACCACUUAACCCACCCAAAAUUCCACGUCAGCUCUACGACGGGUACACAAGAGACUGGAAGUGUAAGUAGGUUUCAAACACCCGGACCUAACCAUCUAGGAUUGUAUCUUCGUCUGCUAUAGAUAUAUCACGGUGGUUUUCUCCGGGAACUGCGGCUUCCUCCACU
Mizuhopecten yessoensis (Yesso scallop) is the source of this 279-nucleotide long non-coding RNA. RefSeq lists it as uncharacterized. The record is from RefSeq and is a predicted model, not a curated record. NCBI's taxonomy places the organism in Eukaryota, Metazoa, Mollusca, Bivalvia, Pectinida, Pectinidae. The transcript is spliced from 3 exons.